RNAcentral lists this long non-coding RNA (400 nucleotides) under Homo sapiens (human). RNAcentral's name for it is "HSALNT0038801". The record is from RNAcentral. Lineage: Eukaryota; Metazoa; Chordata; Mammalia; Primates; Hominidae.
GAUAGGUGGGGAGAAAGCACCCCAGUUCUUGGAAGUUAGCCGUUUCUCCUCCUCGCAGACAACCUCCAGAGCAGGGCAGCAGGCAGCUGCUAGAGAUUUAUUUCUCCACUUAGUCGUCUCCGCUUGCGGCUUCCUCCCAUGAGUGAGGACCAAGAGAAGCCCCCUGUCUCUGAUGAAAGUGGGGGAUGAACACUGAACCAAACCCACACUGCUCAGCACAUUUGAUGCGGCCAGAAACAGACUGCAAAGGCUGAGAAAGCUUUUCAGGGGCCGUCUGGCUGUGUGGGUGCGAAGCUGGCAAUGGAAGAAUGAAAGGCAACCCAGAGUGAAAUUAGGAUUACAAUUUUACAAACGUCUGUUUCUGACGCAGGAAGCACAUCAUUUGUCCACAUCACACUCU